CAAAAAAUAGUUUAAUAAAAAUAAUAAUUUUGGAGAUUAUAGAUAGAGAUGUUCUUUUUUUUUGA
Molecule: transfer RNA, 65 nt
Filed under: Marumba sperchius
Lineage: Eukaryota; Metazoa; Arthropoda; Insecta; Lepidoptera; Sphingidae
Description: tRNA-Pro
Source: RNAcentral